UGAUAGUCUGCGAUAUUCUUCAUUU
RNAcentral lists this microRNA (25 nucleotides) under Tribolium castaneum (red flour beetle). RNAcentral describes it as "tca-miR-11619d-5p". Lineage: Eukaryota; Metazoa; Arthropoda; Insecta; Coleoptera; Tenebrionidae. The record is from miRBase by way of RNAcentral.